UUUAUUUAUUUAUUUUUAAUAUUAAAUUUUUCUUAGAUGUUAUAAGACAUUUAUAUACAAGAAAGACGACAAGACCCUAUUAAACUUAACUUAAGUUAUACUGGGGAAGUACAUUAAUUAUUAUUUUAAUCAAAAUCUUUAUAAACAAAUCUUUUUAAUUAAAUAAUCAAGUUACUAUAGGGAUAACAGCGCAAUUAAUUUUCAAAGUUCAUAUUUAAAAAAUAGAUUACGACCUCGAUGUUGAAUUAAUAUUCUAAAUUAAAGCAAAGAUUAAUAUAAGAAAGUCUGUUCGACUUUUAAAAAAUUACAUGAUUUGAGUUCAGACCGGUAUAAGCCAGGUCGGUUUCUAUCUUCUUAAUACUUUUAUCUAGUACGAAAGGACCUAUAAAUAUAAUUUAAUUAUAUAAUUGGCAGAAAAAUGCAUUAGAAUUAGAAUCUAAUUAUAAU
This 447-nucleotide ribosomal RNA is filed under the name Rhyphelia micacea. RNAcentral's name for it is "partial 16S ribosomal RNA". The stretch from base 60 to 355 matches the Rfam family "Bacterial large subunit ribosomal RNA", at positions 2074 to 2646 of the family's 2925-position model. The record is from RNAcentral. Lineage: Eukaryota; Metazoa; Arthropoda; Arachnida; Araneae; Salticidae.